GGCGUUAAGUCGACCGCCUGGGGAGUACGGCCGCAAGGUUAAAACUCAAAUGAAUUGACGGGGGCCCGCACAAGCGGUGGAGCAUGUGGUUUAAUUCGAUGCAACGCGAAGAACCUUACCUGGUCUUGACAUCCAGAGAAUCCUGCAGAGAUGCGGGAGUGCCUUCGGGAACUCUGAGACAGGUGCUGCAUGGCUGUCGUCAGCUCGUGUUGUGAAAUGUUGGGUUAAGUCCCGCAACGAGCGCAACCCUUAUCCUUUGUUGCCAGCGGUCCGGCCGGGAACUCAAAGGAGACUGCCGGUGAUAAACCGGAGGAAGGUGGGGAUGACGUCAAGUCAUCAUGGCCCUUACGACAAGGGCUACACACGUGCUACAAUGGCGCAUACAAAGAGAAGCGACCUCGCGAGAGCAAGCGGACCUCAUAAAGUGCGUCGUAGUCCGGAUUGGAGUCUGCAACUCGACUCCAUGAAGUCGGAAUCGCUAGUAAUCGUGGAUCAGAAUGCCACGGUGAAUACGUUCCCGGGCCUUGUACACACCGCCCGUCACACCAUGGGAGUGGGUUGCAAAAGAAGUAGGUAGCUUAACCUUCGGGAGGGCGCUUACCACUUUGUGAUUCAUGACUGGGGUGAAGUCGUAACAAGGUAACCGUAGGGGAACCUGCGGUUGGAUCACCUCCUUA
Molecule: ribosomal RNA, 677 nt
Filed under: Leptospira borgpetersenii serovar Hardjo-bovis
Lineage: Bacteria; Pseudomonadati; Spirochaetota; Leptospiria; Leptospirales; Leptospiraceae
Description: bacterial SSU rRNA
Rfam family: Bacterial small subunit ribosomal RNA
Source: RNAcentral